This 503-nucleotide ribosomal RNA is filed under the name uncultured bacterium. Its description in RNAcentral is "partial 16S ribosomal RNA". It matches the Rfam family "Bacterial small subunit ribosomal RNA", at positions 30 to 523 of the family's 1533-position model. The record is from RNAcentral.
AUUGAACGCUGGCGGCAGGCUUAACACAUGCAAGUCGAGCGGGGUGAUGGUGCUUGCACUAUCACUUAGCGGCGGACGGGUGAGUAAUGCUUAGGAAUCUGCCUAUUAGUGGGGGACAACAUCUCGAAAGGGAUGCUAAUACCGCAUACGUCCUACGGGAGAAAGCAGGGGAUCACUUGUGACCUUGCGCUAAUAGAUGAGCCUAAGUCGGAUUAGCUAGUUGGUGGGGUAAAGGCCGACCAAGGCGACGAUCUGUAGCGGGUCUGAGAGGAUGAUGCGCCACACUGGGACUGAGACACGGCCCAGACUCCUGCGUGAGGCAGCAGUGGGGAAGAUUGGACAAUGGGGAGAACCCUGAUCCAGCCAUGCCGCGUGUGUGAAGAAGGCCUUAUGGUUGUAAAGCACUUUAAGCGAGGAGGAGGCUCUUUUGGUUAAUACCCAAGAUGAGUGGACGUUACUCGCAGAAUAAGCACCGGCUAACUCUGUGCCAGCCGCCGCAGUAA